This 253-nucleotide ribosomal RNA is filed under the name uncultured bacterium. RNAcentral describes it as "partial 16S ribosomal RNA". It matches the Rfam family "Bacterial small subunit ribosomal RNA", at positions 524 to 776 of the family's 1533-position model. The record is from RNAcentral.
UACGGAGGAUCCUAGCGUUAUCCGGAUUUACUGGGUUUAAAGGGUGCGUAGGCGGACCCCUAAGUCCGCGGUGAAAGUCUGCGGCUCAACCGUAGGAUUGCCGUGGAUACUGGGGGUCUUGGAUUCGGUCGGGGCGGGCGGAAUGCGUGGUGUAGCGGUGAAAUGCAUAGAUAUCACGCAGAACGCCGAUAGCGAAGGCAGCUCGCCGGGCCGAUAUUGACGCUGAGGCACGAAAGCGUGGGGAUCAAACAGG